GCCUCCCUCCGCCGCCACUCAGACUCCUACGGAACGGACGAGCAGGUGGGUAAGUUUGGUCGCAAGUGGGAACCGUGACGCAGCACGCCGCGUGGAGGAGUGAAUAUCUUGUAUGUAACUCCUUCGAUGGGAAGAUUAUGACGGUACCCAUAGAAGAAGCCCGGCUAACUUCGUGCCAGCAGCCGCGGUAAUAC
Molecule: ribosomal RNA, 194 nt
Filed under: uncultured bacterium
Lineage: Bacteria
Description: partial 16S ribosomal RNA
Source: RNAcentral